RNAcentral lists this ribosomal RNA (253 nucleotides) under uncultured bacterium. RNAcentral's name for it is "partial 16S ribosomal RNA". It matches the Rfam family "Bacterial small subunit ribosomal RNA", at positions 524 to 776 of the family's 1533-position model. The record is from RNAcentral.
UACGGGGGGGGCAAGCGUUGUUCGGAAUUACUGGGCGUAAAGGGCUCGUAGGCGGCCAACUAAGUCAGACGUGAAAUCCCCAGGCUCAACCUGGGAACUGCGUCUGAUACUGGAUGGCUUGAAUUCGGGAGAGGGAUGCAGAAUUCCAGGUGUAGCGGUGAAAUGCGUAGAUAUCUGGAGGAACACCGGUGGCGAAGGCGGCAUCCUGGACCGGUAUUGACGCUGAGGCGCGAAAGCUAGGGGAGCAAACGGG